UCAAGGUAAAAGGCUAGAUAGCGCAGGACACACAGAGAGUGUGUCUCUCUGAAUCUGCUAACGGCUCCGCAAACCAGUUGUAAACCAUAGCAAGCUUGCACGGGUCGGGUUCCAACCUGGCCCGGGCGAUACGGAUAACCCUGGUAAUUCUGAGGCUAAUACGUGUAUGUAAAACCUGGUGGACCGGUGAAAACUGGUAAACUGGGGGACGAGUGAUUGAUUGCUUGGGUUAACCGGGAAUGGGCGCUCGCCUUGACCGCGCUACAAAGGAGGCUCCUCACGGGGACUCCCAGCGGCUCUUGCGCGGUGCUUCUGACCUAUCAACUAGAUGGCAGCGUAAGGGACAUGCUAUGGUGACAACGGGUACAGAGGAUUAGGGUUCGAUCCUGGAGAGUGGGCCUGAGAGAUUGCUCAUACUUCUAAGGAAGGCAGCAGGCGCGCAACGUUCCCCUUGGGCAAAGCUCGAGGGCGUUAGGGGACAUAUGAAUGCCUGCCCAACGGGUGGGCAAUUCAAAUGGGUCUGUUGUAAACAGGCUCUCGAGUAACAAUUAGAGGACAAGUCUGGUGCCAGCACCCGCGGUAAUUCCAGCUCUAAGAGCAUACGUUAAAGUUGUUGCAGUUAAAACGCUCGUAGUCGGCGCAAGACCGGAAGAGACUCCCGUAGGCCAAGGCGAUGUGCUCAACGUGCUGAACCGACGAGCUGCGGCGGGGGUGGGCAACGGUCGUUCGUGCCACUGGCUGUAUCUUACGAUUCACAGGGCUGGGUGCGCUGGUUAACUCCGGUUCCCUGGCUCGGCUGGUGGUGCCGAAUGCCACGAUUAAACUAGCGCGAUCAAACCAGGUCGAAAGACCUUGAAUAGCAUAGCAUGGCAUAUGUUCGCCGGCCGAGCCCUACCAAGCAGGGGCUGAGCCGGCAAACGCGAAAGGGGUGGUCGAGGGCGACCGAAUUGCCGGGCGAGUGGUGAAAUACGUUGACCCUGGCAAGUCGAUCUAAGGCGAAAGCAGUCGUCAAGGCCAUUCCCGUUGAUCAAGAGCGAAAGUUAAGGGUUCGAAGACGAUCAGAUACCGUCGUAGUCUUAACUAUAAAUGAUACUGGCCAGGGACAGGAUUUCGAUGUCUGUCUCGUCUCCUUUUGGACCUUUGAGAAAUUGGAAUGUUUUUCCUGCCGGGUCUGAUCGAAACUGCUCAGUGCCUCGGAGU
RNAcentral lists this ribosomal RNA (1200 nucleotides) under Lamproderma scintillans. Its description in RNAcentral is "SSU rRNA". It matches the Rfam family "Eukaryotic small subunit ribosomal RNA". The record is from RNAcentral. Lineage: Eukaryota; Evosea; Eumycetozoa; Stemonitida; Stemonitidae.